AGACAGAUUUAGAUCUAGGACGCGGACGUCAAAGACGACGUGAAAAUGACGUGUUGUGUCCAUGUAUGGAUAUGCCACGCCAUUUUGCCGACAUUUUCACGUCUUUGACGUCCGCAUCCUCGAUCUAAAACUGUCU
This 136-nucleotide microRNA precursor is filed under the name Paramuricea clavata. The record is from RNAcentral. Lineage: Eukaryota; Metazoa; Cnidaria; Anthozoa; Malacalcyonacea; Plexauridae.